This 424-nucleotide ribosomal RNA is filed under the name uncultured Granulicatella sp. RNAcentral describes it as "bacterial SSU rRNA". It matches the Rfam family "Bacterial small subunit ribosomal RNA", at positions 338 to 759 of the family's 1533-position model. Lineage: Bacteria; Bacillati; Bacillota; Bacilli; Lactobacillales; Carnobacteriaceae. The record is from RNAcentral.
CCUACGGGGGGCUGCAGUGAGGAAUAUUGGUCAAUGGACGCAAGUCUGAACCAGCCAUGCCGCGUGCAGGAAGACGGCUCUAUGAGUUGUAAACUGCUUUUGUACUAGGGUAAACGCUUCUACGUGUAGGAGCCUGAAAGUAUAGUACGAAUAAGGAUCGGCUAACUCCGUGCCAGCAGCCGCGGUAAUACGGAGGAUCCAAGCGUUAUCCGGAUUUAUUGGGUUUAAAGGGUGCGUAGGCGGUUUGAUAAGUUAGAGGUGAAAUACCGGGGCUCAACUCCGGAACUGCCUCUAAUACUGUUGAACUAGAGAGUAGUUGCGGUAGGCGGAAUGUAUGGUGUAGCGGUGAAAUGCUUAGAGAUCAUACAGAACACCGAUUGCGAAGGCAGCUUACCAAACUAUAUCUGACGUUGAGGCACGAAAG